UACGGAGGGGGCGAGCGUUAUUCGGAAUUAUUGGGCGUAAAGGGCGCGUAGGCGGCCCGGUAAGUCAAAGGUGAAAUCCCUCGGCUCAACUGAGGAACUGCCUUUGAAACUGUCGGGCUUGAGGCCGGGAGGGGGUAGCGGAAUUCCCAGUGUAGCGGUGAAAUGCGUAGAUAUUGGGAGGAACACCAGUGGCGAAGGCGGUUGCCUGGAGCUUUGCUGACGCUGAUGCGCGAAAGCGUGGGGAGCGAUCCGG
RNAcentral lists this ribosomal RNA (253 nucleotides) under uncultured bacterium. Its description in RNAcentral is "partial 16S ribosomal RNA". It matches the Rfam family "Bacterial small subunit ribosomal RNA", at positions 524 to 776 of the family's 1533-position model. The record is from RNAcentral.